GCAUAUCAAUAAGCGGAGCGUCAUUGCCUCAGUAGCGGCGAGUGAAGCGGCAAGAGCUCCAGAUUUGAAAUCCUCACCUAGUGUGCGAGUUGUAAAUUGCAGGUUGGAGUCUCGGGUUAGACGUGUGUGCAAGUCCCUUGGAACAGGGUGCCACUGAGGGUGAGAGCCCCGUAUCGUGCAUGUCGACACCUGUGAGGCCCUUCUGACGAGUCGAGUUGUUUGGGAAUGCAGCUCUAAGUGGGUGGUAAAUUCCAUCUAAGGCUAAAUAUUGGCGAGAGACCGAUAGCGAACAAGUACUGUGAAGGAAAGAUGAAAAGCACUUUGAAAAGAGAGUGAAACAGCACGUGAAAUUGUUGAAAGGGAAGGGUAUUGGGCUCGACAUGGGAUUUACGCAUCGUUGCCUCUUGUGGGCGGCGCUCUGGGUUUUUCCUGGGCCAGCAUCGGUUUUCGUUGCAGGAUAAGGACAAUUGGAAUGUGGCUCCUCGGAGUGUUAUAGCCUUUUGUAGAUGCUGCGUAUGGGGACCGAGGGCUGCGGCGGACUUGUUUCGUCUCGGAUGCUGGCACAACGGCGCGAUACCGCCCGUCCCCAAAGGAGAAUGUGAGCGAAAAA
RNAcentral lists this ribosomal RNA (610 nucleotides) under Pichia kluyveri. Its description in RNAcentral is "LSU rRNA". It matches the Rfam family "Eukaryotic large subunit ribosomal RNA", at positions 38 to 661 of the family's 3401-position model. The record is from RNAcentral. Lineage: Eukaryota; Fungi; Ascomycota; Pichiomycetes; Pichiales; Pichiaceae.